UACGGGGGGAGCAAGCGUUGUUCGGAUUUACUGGGCGUAAAGGGCGCGUAGGCGGCGCGGUAGGUCACUUGUGAAAUCUCUGAGCUUAACUCAGAACGGCCAAGUGAUACUGCAGUGCUAGAGUGUGGAAGGGGCAAUCGGAAUUCUUGGUGUAGCGGUGAAAUGCGUAGAUAUCAAGAGGAACACCUGAGGUGAAGACGGGUUGCUGGGCCAACACUGACGCUGAGGCGCGAAAGCCAGGGGAGCAAACGGG
RNAcentral lists this ribosomal RNA (253 nucleotides) under uncultured bacterium. RNAcentral describes it as "partial 16S ribosomal RNA". It matches the Rfam family "Bacterial small subunit ribosomal RNA", at positions 524 to 776 of the family's 1533-position model. The record is from RNAcentral.